GUGAAACCGCGAAUGGCUCAUUAAAUCACACCCAAUCUACUGGAUAGUUAACAGUUACUUGGAUAACUGCGGUAAUUCUGGAGCUAAUACAUGCUUAAAAACCUCGAACUUACGUGAGAGGUGCUUUUAUUAGAUCAAAACCAAACGGCUUCGGCUGUAAGCUUGGUGACUCUGAAUAACUUUGGGCUGAUCGCAUAGCCUUGUGCUGGCGACAUAUCCUUCGAAGGUGUGCCCUAUCAUCUGUCGACUGUGGCAUAGACGCCCACAGUGGAUUUGACGGGUAACGGGGAAUCAGGGUUCGAUUCCGGAGAGGGAGCCUUAAAAACGGCUACCACAUCUAAGGAAGGCAGCAGGCACGCAAAUUACCCAAUGACCGAAGGUCGAGGUAGUGACGAAAAAUAACGAUACGAGACUCAUCCGAGGCCUCGUAAUCGGAAUGAGUACACUUUAAAACCGUCCCCGAGGAUCUAUUGGAGGGCAAGUCUGGUGCCAGCAGCCGCGGUAAUUCCAGCUCCAAUAGCGUAUAUUAAAGUUGUUGUGGUUAAAAAGCUCGUAGUUGGAUCUCGGCAGUCUGGGAUCGGUUUGCUUGUUAGCAUUACUGAUCCAUAGACUGUAGUUUUGCCCGAGGUUUCAGGGUGCUCUUCACCGAGUGUCCUGGGAUGCGGGCAGGUUUACUUUGAAAAAAUUAGAGUGCUCAAAGCAGGCUAUUACGCCUGAAUAUUCGUGCAUGGAAUAAUGGAAUAGGAAGUCGUUUCUAUUUUGUUGGUUUUCGGAAAUCGACUUAAUGAUUAAUAGGGACAGACGGGGGCAUUUGUAUUCAAACGACAGAGGUGAAAUUCUUGGACCGUUUGAAGACAAACUACUGCGAAAGCAUUUGCCAAGAAUGUUUUCAUUAAUCAAGAACGAAAG
This 909-nucleotide ribosomal RNA is filed under the name Temoropia mayumbaensis. RNAcentral describes it as "SSU rRNA". It matches the Rfam family "Eukaryotic small subunit ribosomal RNA", at positions 81 to 989 of the family's 1831-position model. Lineage: Eukaryota; Metazoa; Arthropoda; Copepoda; Calanoida; Temoridae. The record is from RNAcentral.